GUAAAUAUUAGCUGUGAAUAGAUCCUGUGCUUCAUUUCAAGGCUAAGAACCUCCUCAAGUGUGGCUACGAGAGGAAAAGGAGGAUGGAAUAAUAUCGCAUUUAGAGGGAAGCUGAGUCCACUGAAGCUGCUUUCAGGAUUACGGGGAGUCUGUGAAUAUUUGUAGGCUGAGUCUUUCCUAAUUAUCAAAGCUGUCUGUGUUCAGAAACAGACUGUAGCUUCUAGGCAGAGUGCUUCGUCCCAGCAUCACUCAUCUGCUGUUUGUUGAACUGAAAUGAACAUCUUGUCCAAUUUUAACUCUCGAGUUUUUGGCAAUUGGCUGAAUUGGAAAGUCGAAGAUGCAUUUAGAGGAGAGGAUAUUGCCGAGCACUGCAGCUGCAAGAAUCUCUUUUUAAAACCUAAAGUCUGUUACAUAAAUUAUGCACUCUUUAAAUUCUCUUCUACGUUCAUUUACACAGUUGAU
This 462-nucleotide long non-coding RNA is filed under the name Equus caballus (horse). RNAcentral describes it as "lncRNA (ENSECAG00000049641.1)". The record is from RNAcentral. Lineage: Eukaryota; Metazoa; Chordata; Mammalia; Perissodactyla; Equidae.